This 5116-nucleotide long non-coding RNA is filed under the name Sus scrofa (pig). RNAcentral describes it as "lncRNA (ENSSSCG00000052541.1)". Lineage: Eukaryota; Metazoa; Chordata; Mammalia; Artiodactyla; Suidae. The record is from RNAcentral.
UUUUUUUUUUUUUUUUUUUUUUUUUUUUUGUCUUUUUGGGACCACACCCACGGCAUAUGGAGGUUCCCAGGCGAGGGGUCGAAUCUGAGCUGUAGACACCAGCCUACGCCACAGUCACAGCAAUGUCAGAUCCUUAACCCACUGAGCGAGGCCGGGGAUCAAAACUGCCACCUCCUGGUUCCUAGUUGGAUUUGUUUCCACUGCACCAUGAUGGGAACUCCAGUAUGAUUAAUUUUUGACUGAUGUGCAGACAUUUUAUUAAUUAUGAGGCUAUGGAUGUGCUGCUGUUAUCUUUUCUCUGCCUCUUUUCUUUUCCUCCUACUCCCACCCCUUUUAACAAAAGCUCAAGUAGGACUAGGGAAAAAUUGUUUCCUCACAGACGGAAUAUUGUACCUCAUGUGGCACAUUUAAAUUCUCCAAGGAGAAAGGACUCUCCAUUAAAGUGUCCUUAUGAGUCACAGGCAGUAGUGAGGCUGAGAUACUCCCCUGUUCCCUUCCAUUCAUCAUCUCCUAACGUCACUAACUUUCUGGAGUAUGAAAGCAGCUCCACCCCUUGCCAGGACCAUCACUCUCCAAUAAUACUCAACCAUAACUCACUAGUGAAGCUUAAUUGGGGAGGAGGCAAUUCUGAGUUAGGUAUCACCAAAGUACUAUUUUGAAAGAAAUGCAGGUUUAUGGACUUCAAUUGUAGGUUUAAUUCAAAACUAUGGCCAGAACUAAAAAUUUAAGGAUUUAUUUAAAUCCAUCAGUUUAGAGAUCUGGUAUAGAUCACAGCUGCAGCUUGGAUUGGAUUCCUGGCCUGGGAACUUCUAUAUGCCUUGGGUGCAGCUGAAAAAAGAAAAAAACACUUUAAAAAUUGCUUGUUUUCUUGAGUUGGUCAACCAAUACUUUAAAAAUCCUGUUUAUUUAUUCCCUUAGCAAAGCUCAAAUAAAUUUCAACAUAACCCUUCUCUGAAUUUUCAAAAAUUCGCAAGUAGUGGAAUCCACAUUAGAAGCUUGAAAAUAUGUGAUGUUUCCACUUAAAGAGCAUUGAUUAAGCUGCUUUGCACUGUGUGCACUAAACUCUGGCUUGGCACAGUUGUUCCAUGAUCUAAAAUCUACUAUGACUAUUUUCUGGGUGAGUCAUUUGCCAUAAAAUUUAACAGUCUGUAUUACCUGUUGGUUUGAGUUUAUGAUCUGUAAAUACUAUGCCUUAGCUCCUUGAAUAUUGAUUUCUUUUUCUUUUUCAUAGUUCAUUUGGACUUUCAUUGAUUAAGCUCUGGUUGUACAAAGUGCUUCCUGAUAGUAAAGAUUCAAAGCACUGUACCCAUUUUAACAUAAUAUUGUUGAACAUGUUUAUGCUUAAACAUGACUGAGAGUUGCAAAGUUUGACCUAGAAUAAUACAAUUAUUAGACUUCGAAGCUACUUUAAGAAAACCCAGGACAAUCUUGUAGAAGAAUUGGCUCACUGUUUUACAAAUGGCAUUUGAAAUUCAGAGAACAAUUCAAGCUUGGAGCAAAUGGAAAAUCAAAGGUAGUUUAGAUCAAUUACCCUCACUGUACAAGAUGUUUAUGUGUUGAUAGUUUAUAUCUCUACCCCUAGAUCAAUUCAGCUAUUUUACUGGCUAAUUCUUGCAUUUAUGAUUCAUAAAAUACAAAUUUGUUUCCUUUUAUGGAGGGAAAGUGUAGUAUGGGGGCGGGGGAGGAGCUGCCGUCAUUUCACCUUGAAGCCUAACAGUAUAAAUUCCAUAUGCAAUGAAAUAGUAAGUUUUUAAAAAUAAAGGUUACUUGUUUUUUGAGAGCUGAGGCAGUAGUGUAUUUUUUUUUUAACUUUAUAAAGAUUGAGAGAUUGAUAAUUCUUCAGCCCUCUCUGCACUCAGCAUUGAACCAACUAAAAAAGAGAGAAAUCAAAACAUCAGUUUAGAGUGUGUUCCUCCAGGAAUAUAGUCCCUUCAAGACGUAAUUUUUAAUAAAAAAUGUAAAGUGAUCACAGCACCAACUGAAUACUCUCAACAUUUAGAAAAUAUAAAAAUCUCCAGCUGCUCCUAAUUUUAUCUUAUGACCAGAUACAGGCACUGGCCAUCGUCCCUUUGGUAGCUACAAGCCACAUAACUGUUGAUUCUCCAAAUGUGGUUGCUGUGACAGAUACUUUUAUUUUAAAAAAAAAAAGUAUAAUUUUAGUUUACAAUUUAAAUGUAAAUUUAAAAUUCGAUACUCAAUUCACUAUUGGAAGACUUUUAAGUUGAUUUGAAAAAAUGUGGGUAGGUGAAUCUACCUUUCCAACUGUAAGUUGUAUGAAAUCUAAAUAUUUGUCAAUUAUUUCCCAUUAAAAUGGUUUGGGAUUGGUAAAUGCAAACUAUUACAUUGAGAAUGGCUAAGCCGUGAGGGCCUAUUGUACAGCACAGGGAACUAUAUCCAAUCUCUUGAGAUACAACAUGAUGGAAGAUAAUAUGAGAAAAAGAAUGUGUGUAUAUAUGUAUAUGUGCAUGUAUGUAUAUAUAUAAAUGACUGGGUCACUAUGCUAUACAACAGAAAUUGGCACAGUGCUGUGAAUAAACUAUAAUUUUUAAAAAAUUAAGGGGCCAAAUUAAGAUGUGCUGUAAGCAUAAAAUAUAAGAUUUCAAAUACAUUCCUUUCAAAAAGAAAUGUUAAAUAGUUCAAUAAUAAUUAUUUACAUUGACAACAUAUUGAUUAUUUUGGAUACAUGGGGUUAAACAAAACAUUAAAAUUAACUUUUAAAUUUUUUUUUUGCCUUUUAGGACCACAUCUGCGGCGUAUGGAAGUUCCCGGGCUAGGAGUCAAAUUGGAGCUACAGCUUCUGUCCUGCACCACGGCCACAGCAAUGUGGGAUCCAAGCCGUGUCAGUGACCUACACCACAGCUAACAGCAACACCAGAUCCUAAACCCACUAGGGCCAGGGAUCGAACCCACAUCCCUCAUGGAUACUAGUCAAGUUCAUUACUGCCACAAUGGGAACUCCCUAAAAUUCUUUUUUUUUUUUUUUUUCACUGUUUUUUACUGGGAUUACUAGAGAAUUUUUGAUUACUAAUGUGGCUUCCAUCUUUUCUUUUUUUCCCUCGUUUUAUUUCUACUAAAUACACUCUAAAUAUGAUGUGGAUCCAGACUCUGCUUGGCAGGUAGGAAUCGUGGUAGAGAACUAAGUUGUGUCUGGGGAAGGAGAAUCGACUGAAAAGAGUAGGGAGGAAGAGAAAAUCUUCUGGCUUUUGGCUUCUCUGGAGGCUGACUGGUCUAGGCUACUCCAUGCCCCUGCAUAGCCUCUGAACCUGAACUUAAGCAGAAGGAAUUUCCUGCUGGGUAUUUGUUCCUUCCAAAACCAAGGCUUUCAAAGCUGAUUGGCAUCUUUGCUUGUUGUUUCUCCCCUAAAUUUGCCUUCUUGAAGCAUAUACUUCGUCUAGGCUUUGGAUAAUAUUAACUAUUCAAAUUGCCACAUAAAAAUCCCCUUUUACCAUCGAUUUUCCUACUGACACAUGACUUUGCUUUCCCUGGAAAGAAAAGUGUAAAAAAUGAAACACCUCCCAAUGCCAAGCCCUCCAGAAAUCUUACACUCAUAGUCUAGUGGAGACAACACAGAAGAUUGUCUCUCUGGUACUUGAAAUGAAGUUCUGCUCAUGCUGAUUUGAACACGUUCCUUUUCUAACGAAAAUCCUGCCUUCUCUACGUGGACUUGGAUGCCCCCAUGGAAGUGACGCUACCUCUCCAGUCCAAGUUCCCUGGGAGAAACUUUCCUGCCCUAAUGAAUUAUUGCUUUCCCUGCCCUAUAUCCAAACCCUACCUCAUAGUCUGAGGUCCAGGAAACCAUCUGGAUCACGAAGAUAAAUGCCUUUGCUAAAUUGAGGCAUGACUUGGUACCUUGCUCACCUCAUCAGCUGAGCUCAGCCUGGGUGAGUUUCUGCUGCCUUCUGCUCAGCUGGAGUUCUUAACCUCAACCAAAUAUUAGAAUUGACCGAAUCACCAUUAAAAAGAAAGAAGGCCCAGGCUUAGGCCAGGCAAAAUCCACUAGUACCUCAGCAGCUAUCGGAGGACCUGAAACGAGGUUGGCCAACCUGUGAAUUCACUGAAUGGUUUUGUAUAUUCCUCAUCACUCUUUUUCUUGGUUAAUUUACUUGAAGCCUGUAGCCAAAAUAAAAUAUGUAAAAUUAAAAAGGGAUAUUUCCUGUAUUUUUGACAUCAACUAAAUUGAACAAUAGUCUUCCCCUGUGUGACAUUAUUACACGUUUCUGUAUAAUGGCCAUGUUAAUGUUAUUGUUUUACUGUGUUUGAAAUGCAUCUUCAAAUGGAUUCUCUCUAGUUUCCCUUAAGGUUAAAAGAUUCAGGUAUCUGAAAAUCACACUAUGAAGACAAUGCAUUAGAAUUGCAGAUUGCAAAAGAUUUUAAAUGCUUAAUUUGAAAAUAUUUUGCUUUUUUAUAAAAUUAAACUUGCUUAUUGAGGAGUUCCUAUCAUGGCUCAGUGGUUAACGAAUCCGACUAGGAACCAUGAGGUUGCAGGUUCGAUCCCUGGCCUUGCUUAGUGGGUUAAGGAUCUGGCAUUGCCGUGAGCUGUGGUGUAGGUCACAGACACGGCUCGUAUCCCAAGUUGCUGUGGCUCUGGCGUAGGUCGGUGGCUACAGCUCCGAUUCGACCCCUAGCCUGGGAACCUCUAUAUGCCACGGGAGUGGCCCAAGAAGUGGCAAAAAGACAAAAAUCUCCAUAUCAGAAUUUGCUAGACAACACGUGGCCAAGAACUUAACUUCACGAGAAGGAAUUCCACUCUCAAUACUUGUUAUUAAUUAAAAGCAGGGAUUCUAAGGAUUGACACAGAUAUUUGCCUCUAAGAAGCAAAGCCCACCUAGCAUUUAGAGGCUAAAUUUCAGAAAUAGAACUGUGGCACAAGGCAGCUAAACUUGAAUGGAAUAAAAACAGACAGAACACUGGAAAAAUAAGGGAAUCUCUCCAUUUGAAUAUACAUUUAUAUUUAUACAGUUUACACUCCAGCAACAGUGAUUUGCAUCUGGUACAGACAUUGUACCUGUUAUUAACACACAAGUCAUGUGAGUCACAGCAAGAACACGCACAGUAUUAAUUCGCUUCAGAGACUGUACUCUGAGAAGUUUUUCCAGUUCUAACUGCAUGAUAUGGU